AAGGAGAGGGCAUUCAAUGAGUGGUAUAGGGUGGCACCGAAGGAAGCAACCAUAUGUACAUCUUAUAUGACGGUGGGGAAGAAAUUUUUUGCUGAGCUACUUACCUCUGAAGGAUGGUUGACUUCCGAUCAUAUUGACACUAUUUUGUAUUUCAUACGAAAAAGGCGGUUUGAGAAUGAGAAGAUGUUCACCCACACCUGUGCCAUAUUAGAUGUGUUAUUUUGAUCAUCCAUCAAAGGGCGUUAUCCCAUAUGGGGGGCAUCUCGUAGCACAUAUAUAUGUGAUGCGACCCUUCAUAGCUAUGUGCGUGGGAAGUCACCCAAACCUAGCGUGCCGUGGC
Molecule: long non-coding RNA, 340 nt
Organism: Ziziphus jujuba (common jujube)
Lineage: Eukaryota; Viridiplantae; Streptophyta; Magnoliopsida; Rosales; Rhamnaceae
Exons: 3
Source: RefSeq, a predicted model, not a curated record